UCCACAUCAGCACAUGGUGAGACAGGGUAGC
This 31-nucleotide non-coding RNA is filed under the name Homo sapiens (human). Lineage: Eukaryota; Metazoa; Chordata; Mammalia; Primates; Hominidae. The record is from RNAcentral.